RNAcentral lists this non-coding RNA (19 nucleotides) under Arabidopsis thaliana (thale cress). Lineage: Eukaryota; Viridiplantae; Streptophyta; Magnoliopsida; Brassicales; Brassicaceae. The record is from RNAcentral.
UACAAGUCAUCUAGGGCCA